RNAcentral lists this long non-coding RNA (206 nucleotides) under dengue virus type 1. RNAcentral describes it as "Dengue virus 1 partial sfRNA1". The stretch from base 149 to 206 matches the Rfam family "Flavivirus DB element", at positions 1 to 57 of the family's 72-position model. The record is from RNAcentral. Lineage: Riboviria; Orthornavirae; Kitrinoviricota; Flasuviricetes; Amarillovirales; Flaviviridae.
AAGAAGUCAGGCCGGAUUAAGCCAUAGUACGGCAAGAGCUAUGCUGCCUGUGAGCCCCGUCUAAGGACGUAAAAUGAAGUCAGGCCGAAAGCCACGGUUUGAGCAAACCGUGCUGCCUGUAGCUCCAUCGUGGGGAUGUAAAAACCUGGGAGGCUGCAACCCAUGGAAGCUGUACGCAUGGGGUAGCAGACUAAGUGGUUAGAGAA